Non-coding RNA from Bos taurus (domestic cattle), 45 nucleotides. The record is from Rfam. Lineage: Eukaryota; Metazoa; Chordata; Mammalia; Artiodactyla; Bovidae.
AAACAGGGCCUACUGAGGCCCACACACACUCCCAUUAAAUAGCAG